ACACAGGUAGUCAAGAUGAGAAUUCUAAGGUGAGCGAGCGAACUCUCGUUAAGGAACUCGGCAAAAUGACCCCGUAACUUCGGGAGAAGGGGUGCUCUUUAGGGUUAACGCCCAGAAGAGCCGCAGUGAAUAGGCCCAAGCGACUGUUUAUCAAAAACACAGGUCUCUGCUAAACCGUAAGGUGAUGUAUAGGGGCUGACGCCUGCCCGGUGCUGGAAGGUUAAGAGGAGUGGUUAGCUUCUGCGAAGCUACGAAUCGAAGCCCCAGUAAACGGCGGCCGUAACUAUAACGGUCCUAAGGUAGCGAAAUUCCUUGUCGGGUAAGUUCCGACCCGCACGAAAGGCGUAACGAUUUGGGCACUGUCUCAACGAGAGACUCGGUGAAAUCAUAGU
This 392-nucleotide ribosomal RNA is filed under the name Staphylococcus aureus. RNAcentral's name for it is "partial 23S ribosomal RNA". It matches the Rfam family "Bacterial large subunit ribosomal RNA", at positions 1657 to 2048 of the family's 2925-position model. The record is from RNAcentral. Lineage: Bacteria; Bacillati; Bacillota; Bacilli; Caryophanales; Staphylococcaceae.